GGGCAGGAAAGCGUAGCGGCAGUAGAGCGAUCGUCUCCGAAUCGGUAGGCUCUGGGUUCGAUCCCCAAUGCGGCCCG
Molecule: non-coding RNA, 77 nt
Organism: Merluccius polli (Benguela hake)
Lineage: Eukaryota; Metazoa; Chordata; Actinopteri; Gadiformes; Merlucciidae
Source: the annotation of a GenBank genome assembly